This 536-nucleotide transfer RNA is filed under the name uncultured cyanobacterium. RNAcentral's name for it is "partial 16S-23S ribosomal RNA intergenic spacer". The stretch from base 209 to 281 matches the Rfam family "tRNA". The record is from RNAcentral. Lineage: Bacteria; Bacillati; Cyanobacteriota.
CAGGGAGACAACAAAAUGUUAAAUAUUAAUUUUGUCACCUUAGGUCGAUCGGUAUCUCAGAUUCUUAAUUAAUUAAGAAUUUCAUUUCCUAAGUUUUUCUAGGUCACACCCAUUAUUUUCCUGGGCCAUUAGCUCAGGUGGUUAGAGCGCACCCCUGAUAAGGGUGAGGUCCCUGGUUCAAGUCCAGGAUGGCCCAUAUCUCUAUGUUGGGGGUAUAGCUCAGUUGGUAGAGCGCCUGCUUUGCAAGCAGGAUGUCAGCGGUUCGAGUCCGCUUACCUCCACUGAUUACCACCUCUUCCAUAACCGGUAGAAAGGAAAUGUUUUGAGUUGUGAUCAAAUUCUGAAAGAAUCUAGCUUCCUAGUGAAACCAUUAAGAUGCUGGACUCAUUGAAUUAAUUUCAUUGUUUUCAGAGAACCUUGACAACUGCAUAGAUUAUCUUAAAGACAAUAAGCAUCUUUGAUGAUGCAGAUUUAUUAUUUGUGCUAAUGCAUUAAUAACAAUUCUAUUAAGCUGAUGCUUCAAUUUUGAAGUUAUU